This 490-nucleotide long non-coding RNA is filed under the name Setaria italica (foxtail millet). RNAcentral's name for it is "long non-coding RNA (SITA_LNC004882)". Lineage: Eukaryota; Viridiplantae; Streptophyta; Magnoliopsida; Poales; Poaceae. The record is from RNAcentral.
CCAUGGUCAUCUUCUCGGCCAUCUUGCUGGCUGUAGACGCCACCACCGCACAUCCAUGGUUGUAGCGCCCACCAACAUCACCUCCGGGCAGCCCAGCACGUCGACGGAGCUGUGGACGCUCGAAGCCAUGGCCAUGUCCAUCUUCCUCCUCUGAAUCAGGGACAUAAAGCCCCUACCUCCAUGCCGAUGCCUUCAUCUUCCGAGUCAAGGACAUACAACUGGUCGAGGUGAUCGACGCGAAGGCGACUGCGGCCAAUGUUGAGGAUGCGUUCCGGGCUCCGAUCACCGCCACCGGCCCCAGCUUCACGGGUUCCUUCGGUCUUCUACCACUGUCGCACAUUUUGGGGAUAGGCACGGAGCUCGCGCCGCCAUCCCCAAUCCCGUCGCACAUCUUGGGGACAGGCACGAAGCUCGCGCCACCUUCCCCAAUCCUGUCGCACAUCUUGGGGACAUCGCCUUCCCCAAUCUUGAUGACGGAUCUUGGGAUUUC